CGUUCGCGUCGCGCGAUGUGCGAAGUAAUUUUAAACGUGUGAUUAGUUUUGCGCGCGGGGUAGAAAAAGAUGUGGCCCAUGCUUUGUGUAUUACUCGUGCCCCACUUCAAAGCAAAGCGUUCGUACGCACUGGAAGAUGGAUCCACGAAGGCUGAAACGAGAAGUUGCAACGUGCCCGGUCGGUAGUACUGGCAUGAUGGAAACUUUCAGCGAGUGUUCCCGCCUGAAAGCCGAGUUUGGUUUCAAGCCACCCUGGACAACUGCUGUAUGAGGCGCCGUUUCUCGGGAGGACCAGUGGGAAGGCGCCAAGUCAUGCAGAUGGUAGCAGCAAUUUCACAAUGCCCAGCCUUGGCGCGCCCCAUCAAGAGCAAGCCACUUGCGUUCGCCUUCAGACAGAUGGUUAAUGUCUUCUUGAAAGCGGUUGAGAAGACAACAUUGAUGCAAGAUUCCAGCAAUGCCAUGCGCUGCAUUUAUUGGUCAAGAUGCUCAGAGAAUGGAGUCCCUGCACCUCGUGGUUAACCGUGAACAUUUCUUUUUCUUUUGGAAAGCUAAAGGCCAUUUGCUGCAUCACUUGCAUUUUUGCAGCUCAGAUGUGUACUAUAUUUUUCUCAUUUUGAAUCAAUAUUGGCUGUUCAGUAUAAAAAAUGACUUACAGCGUGAAGGACAAGGACUGCGAGAGACACACUCCACUGACUUUCAACAAUAUUUUAUUGCGUUGCCACAUCGUGUGUGUAUACACAGAGGGGUCAUGCGCAGAAAAUGAAAGCCAGUCACAAGGGGUGUUCUAACAGCAAGUCAUUGUAAAAAGAACAUGGUCACUUGAAAAA
Dermacentor albipictus is the source of this 827-nucleotide long non-coding RNA. RefSeq lists it as uncharacterized. NCBI's taxonomy places the organism in Eukaryota, Metazoa, Arthropoda, Arachnida, Ixodida, Ixodidae. The record is from RefSeq and is a predicted model, not a curated record.